Long non-coding RNA from Oncorhynchus tshawytscha (Chinook salmon), 591 nucleotides. The record is from Ensembl. Lineage: Eukaryota; Metazoa; Chordata; Actinopteri; Salmoniformes; Salmonidae.
AGGUCCCAGAGCGGUCAGAAUAGUGGUACCGUAGGUCCCAGAGUGGUCAGACUGGUGGCACCAUAGGUCCCAGAGUGGUCAGACUGGUGGCAGGUCCCAGAGUGGUCAGACUGGUGGUAGGUCCUAGAGCGGUCAGACUGGUGGCACCAUAUGUCCCAGAGCGGUCAGACUGGUGGCACCGUAGGUCCCGGAGUGGUCAGACUGGUGGCACCGUAGGUCCCAGAGCGGUCAGACUGGUGGCAGGUCCCAGAUUGGUCAGACUGGUGGCAGUUCCCAGAGCGGUCAGACUGGUGGCACCAUAGGUCCCAGAGUGGUCAGACUGGUGGCAGGUCCCAGAGUGGUCAGACUGGUGGCAGGUCCCAGAGUGGUCAGACUGGUGGCACCGUAGGUCCCAGAGUGGUCAGACUGGUGGCAGGUCCCAGAGUGGUCAGACUGGUGGCAGGUCCCAGAGUGGUCAGACUGGUGGCAGGUCCCAGAGUGGUCAGACUGGUGGCACCGUAGGUCCCAGAGUGGUCAGACUGGUGGCACCGUAGGUCCCAGAGUGGUCAGACUGGUGGCACCGUAGGUCCCAGAGUGGUCAGACUGGUGGCA